Molecule: long non-coding RNA, 497 nt
Organism: Liolophura sinensis
Lineage: Eukaryota; Metazoa; Mollusca; Polyplacophora; Chitonida; Chitonidae
Exons: 4
Source: RefSeq, a predicted model, not a curated record
GUUGUGUAGUAAAUAGGGCAACGGAAUCGCAGACUGAAGUAGCUAACGCUGACAGCAAAGGCCCGGCAGUGAAAUGGACACCGACAGAGAUAGGGGCGGUGAAUUCCGCCUCUACCCAGCAUGGCACAGCAAGGGAAAAAGACCCUUAUCAACAUCCGUCAAACCGCCUUGGGUAUCUGGUCCGAAAACUGCCGGAACAAGCCGAACCGAACAACCAUCUAGUCCCAUUAUCUCUUACAUCCCUCGUCGAAGUUAAAUGACUUCCGGAAUACAGACUGCAUAUUACAUACUUGACAAGCUGGUCGCAGUCGUUUUGCACACAAUGGGUAGUUAUUAUGAAGACGUUUUCGGGAAUUUGACCCGGCGGCAAGAUACAGUUCCGUGACUGAUUUUAGACCUCUAUUUCUUCGCACGCCUUUUCCAUAUAUUUUUUUUUAUAACUUGAAACCACAAAAUCAUGUUUAAACAUUUCAUGCAUGUAUCUGUCAGUGCAAAUA